RNAcentral lists this ribosomal RNA (253 nucleotides) under uncultured bacterium. RNAcentral's name for it is "partial 16S ribosomal RNA". It matches the Rfam family "Bacterial small subunit ribosomal RNA", at positions 524 to 776 of the family's 1533-position model. The record is from RNAcentral.
UACGUAGGCAGCGAGCGUUGUUCGGAAUUACUGGGCGUAAAGAGUGUGUAGGCGGUGCUCUAAGUUCGGUGUGAAAUCUCCUGGCUUAACUGGGAGGGUGCGCCGAAAACUGGAGUGCUCGAGCGUGGGAGAGGAAAGCGGAAUUCCUGGUGUAGCGGUGAAAUGCGUAGAUAUCAGGAGGAACACCUGCGGUGUAGACGGCUUUCUGGACCGGUACUGACACUCAACUACGAAAGCGUGGGGAGCAAACAGG